This is a non-coding RNA of Oryza nivara, 188 nucleotides long. NCBI's taxonomy places the organism in Eukaryota, Viridiplantae, Streptophyta, Magnoliopsida, Poales, Poaceae. The record is from Rfam.
GACAAGCGCAGUUUUACACUGUUAUCCAACAUUUGACCGUUUGUCUUAUUUUAAAUUUUUAUUGUUAUUAGAUGAUAAAACAUAAAUAGUACUUUAUGUUUGACUAAUAUUUCCUAAUUUUUUCAUAAAUUUUUCAGAUAAGAUGGACGGUCAAACGUUGGAUACGGAUACCCAUAGCUGCACUUAUU